AGAGCGGGAGCCCGGAGAUGGGCACUGAGACAAGGGCCCAGGCCCUACGGGGCGCAGCAGUCGCGAAAACUUUGCAAUAAGCGAAAGCUUGACAGGGCUAUCCCGAGUGCCAUCCGCUGAGGAAGGCUUUUACCCAGUCUAGAACGCUGGGGGAAUAAGGAGAGGGCAAGUCUGGUGUCAGCCGCCGCGGUAAUACCAGCUCUCCGAGUGGUGUGGAUGUUUAUUGGGCCUAAAGCAUCCGUAGCUGGCUAGGUUAGUCCCUUGUUAAAUCCACCGAAUUAAUCGUUGGAUUGCGGGGGAUACUGCUUGGCUAGGGGACGAGAGAGGCAGACGGUAUUUUCGGGGUAGGGGUGAAAUCCUAUAAUCCCGGGAAGACCACCAGUGGCGAAGGCUGUCUGCU
RNAcentral lists this ribosomal RNA (400 nucleotides) under Candidatus Bathyarchaeota archaeon. RNAcentral's name for it is "bacterial SSU rRNA". It matches the Rfam family "Archaeal small subunit ribosomal RNA", at positions 279 to 681 of the family's 1478-position model. Lineage: Archaea; Thermoproteati; Candidatus Bathyarchaeota. The record is from RNAcentral.